UAGGGGGCAAGCGUUAUCCGGAUUUACUGGGUGUAAAGGGAGCGUAGACGGCGGUGCAAGUCUGGUGUGAAAGGCGGGGGCCCAACCCCCGGACUGCUCUGGAAACUGUAUGGCUGGAGUGCAGGAGAGGUAAGUGGAAUUCCUAGUGUAGCAGUGAAAUGCGUAGAUAUUAGGAGGAACACCAGUGGCGAAGGCGGCUUACUGGACUGUAACUGACGUUGAGGCUCGAAAGCGUGGGGAGCAAA
RNAcentral lists this ribosomal RNA (245 nucleotides) under uncultured bacterium. Its description in RNAcentral is "partial 16S ribosomal RNA". It matches the Rfam family "Bacterial small subunit ribosomal RNA", at positions 528 to 772 of the family's 1533-position model. The record is from RNAcentral.